CGACAUCGUCACCGCCGACGCCGACCGCCGCAGGCUCAAGGGCAACCAGCUCACCAAGUUCAAGACGGAGCUUCGCACCGGCUUUGAGUUUGGCUACGCGUCGCGCGUCAAGGCGAACGUCAAGGUGAAGCUCAACCGCGACAUCACCUGCCAGGACCCGGAGACGGACCCGCCCACCUUUGCCGCGUGCCGCCAGUCGCCCCCCGUCGCCACCACCGGUUUCGGCGACGACGGCGAGGCGACGCGCGUCAUCAAGAUUAUCGACGACGACGAGGCUAACCUCGAGGACACCGACACGUCGGGCGCAACCGCCGAGGAGGCCGAGGUUCGCAUCACGUACAUGCACGCGUUCAACCCCAAGCAGGAUACCGACGCCGACUACAACAUCAUCAAGGAGUUUCCUGGGGAGAUUCAGGUGUUCAUCGAC
RNAcentral lists this long non-coding RNA (427 nucleotides) under Micromonas commoda. RNAcentral describes it as "long non-coding RNA (MCOM_LNC000368)". The record is from RNAcentral. Lineage: Eukaryota; Viridiplantae; Chlorophyta; Mamiellophyceae; Mamiellales; Mamiellaceae.